This 253-nucleotide ribosomal RNA is filed under the name uncultured bacterium. Its description in RNAcentral is "partial 16S ribosomal RNA". It matches the Rfam family "Bacterial small subunit ribosomal RNA", at positions 524 to 776 of the family's 1533-position model. The record is from RNAcentral.
UACAGAGACUGCGAGCGUUAUUCGGAUUCACUGGGCGUAAAGGGCGCGUAGGCGGCUCGUGAAGUCGGGUGUGAAAGCCCGGGGCUCAACCCCGGAACGGCAUCCGAUACUGGCGGGCUUGAGACCGGGAGAGGAGGGUGGAAUACCCAGUGUAGAGGUGAAAUUCGUAGAUAUUGGGUGGAACACCGGUGGCGAAAGCGGCUCUCUGGCCCGGAUCUGACGCUGAGGCGCGAAAGCGUGGGGAGCAAACAGG